GACGAACGCUGGCGGCGUGCCUAAUACAUGCAAGUAGAACGCUGAAGGAGGAGCUUGCUUCUCUGGAUGAGUUGCGAACGGGUGAGUAACGCGUAGGUAACCUGCCUGGUAGCGGGGGAUAACUAUUGGAAACGAUAGCUAAUACCGCAUAAGAGUAGAUGUCGCAUGACAUUUGCUUAAAAGGUGCAAUUGCAUCACUACCAGAUGGACCUGCGUUGUAUUAGCUAGUUGGUGAGGUAACGGCUCACCAAGGCAACGAUACAUAGCCGACCUGAGAGGGGGAUCGGCCACACUGGGACUGAGACACGGCCCAGACUCCUACGGGAGGCAGCAGUAGGGAAUCUUCGGCAAUGGACGGAAGUCUGACUGAGCAACGCCGCGUGAGUGAAGAAGGUUUUCGGAUCGUAAAGCUCUGUUGUAAGAGAAGAACGAGUGUGAGAGUGGAAAGUUCACACUGUGACGGUAUCUGACCAGAAAGAGACGGCUAACUACGUG
This 495-nucleotide ribosomal RNA is filed under the name uncultured bacterium. RNAcentral describes it as "partial 16S ribosomal RNA". It matches the Rfam family "Bacterial small subunit ribosomal RNA", at positions 28 to 507 of the family's 1533-position model. The record is from RNAcentral.